CCCUCUAGCUCAGUUGGUAGGGCAUGGUGUUUGCAACACCAGGGUUGUGGGUUCGAUUCCCACGGGGG
RNAcentral lists this transfer RNA (68 nucleotides) under Salmo salar (Atlantic salmon). It matches the Rfam family "tRNA". From Rfam's summary of the family: Transfer RNA (tRNA) molecules are approximately 80 nucleotides in length. Their secondary structure includes four short double-helical elements and three loops (D, anti-codon, and T loops). Lineage: Eukaryota; Metazoa; Chordata; Actinopteri; Salmoniformes; Salmonidae. The record is from Rfam by way of RNAcentral.